GACGAACGCUGGCGGCGUGCUUAACACAUGCAAGUCGAACGGAAAGGCCCUGCUUUUGUGGGGUGCUCGAGUGGCGAACGGGUGAGUAACACGUGAGUAACCUGCCCUUGACUUUGGGAUAACUUCAGGAAACUGGGGCUAAUACCGGAUAGGAGCUCCUGCUGCAUGGUGGGGGUUGGAAAGUUUCGGCGGUUGGGGAUGGACUCGCGGCUUAUCAGCUUGUUGGUGGGGUAGUGGCUUACCAAGGCUUUGACGGGUAGCCGGCCUGAGAGGGUGACCGGCCACCUUGGGACUGAGGUACGGCCCAGACUCCUACGGGAGGCAGUAGUGGGGAAUAUUGCACAGUGGGCGGAAGCCUGAUGCAGCAGCGCCGCGUGCGGGAUGACGGCCUUCGGGUUGUAAACCGCUUUCGCCUGUGACGAAGCGUGAGUGACGGUAAUGGGUAAAGAAGCACCGGCUAACUACGUG
RNAcentral lists this ribosomal RNA (468 nucleotides) under uncultured bacterium. Its description in RNAcentral is "partial 16S ribosomal RNA". It matches the Rfam family "Bacterial small subunit ribosomal RNA", at positions 28 to 507 of the family's 1533-position model. The record is from RNAcentral.